CGUCGGCUACAGCAUCGCGGCCGGCGCGGGUUUCUGGCCCGCGCUGGUGCUCGCGCCGCUCGCGGUCGGGCUGUUCGGCGCCGGCUGCGAACGC
Molecule: transfer RNA, 94 nt
Filed under: Burkholderia contaminans
Lineage: Bacteria; Pseudomonadati; Pseudomonadota; Betaproteobacteria; Burkholderiales; Burkholderiaceae
Description: tRNA-Arg
Source: RNAcentral